UACGGGGGGGGCAAGCGUUGUUCGGAAUUACUGGGCGUAAAGGGCUCGUAGGCGGCCAACUAAGUCAGACGUGAAAUCCCUCGGCUUAACCGGGGAACUGCGUCUGAUACUGGAUGGCUUGAAUCCGGGAGAGGGAUGCGGAAUUCCAGGUGUAGCGGUGAAAUGCGUAGAUAUCUGGAGGAACACCGGUGGCGAAGGCGGCGAGCUGGUCCAUUACUGACGCUGAGGCGCGAAAGCGUGGGGAGCAAACAGG
This 253-nucleotide ribosomal RNA is filed under the name uncultured bacterium. Its description in RNAcentral is "partial 16S ribosomal RNA". It matches the Rfam family "Bacterial small subunit ribosomal RNA", at positions 524 to 776 of the family's 1533-position model. The record is from RNAcentral.